RNAcentral lists this ribosomal RNA (373 nucleotides) under gamma proteobacterium SCGC AAA031-B05. RNAcentral's name for it is "partial 16S small subunit ribosomal RNA". It matches the Rfam family "Bacterial small subunit ribosomal RNA", at positions 370 to 735 of the family's 1533-position model. Lineage: Bacteria; Pseudomonadati; Pseudomonadota; Gammaproteobacteria. The record is from RNAcentral.
AAUGGGCGCAAGCCUGAUCCAGCCAUGCCGCGUGUGUGAAGAAGGCCUUCGGGUUGUAAAGCCCUUUUGNUCGGGAGGAAGGGGNUUNGGUUAAUACCCNNAGNUCAUGACGUUACCCNNAGAAUAAGCACCGGCUAACUCCGUGCCAGCAGCCGCGGUAAUACGGAGGGUGCAAGCGUUAAUCGGAAUUACUGGGCGUAAAGCGCGCGNAGGCGGUUAUUUAAGUCAGAUGUGAAAUCCCCGGGCUCAACCUGGGAACUGCAUUUGAAACUGGCUGGCUAGAGUGCGGUAGAGGGGGGUGGAAUUCCNGGUGUAGCGGUGAAAUGCGUAGAUAUCNGGAGGAACACCGGUGGCGAAGGCGGCCCCCUGGACC